RNAcentral lists this ribosomal RNA (253 nucleotides) under uncultured bacterium. RNAcentral's name for it is "partial 16S ribosomal RNA". It matches the Rfam family "Bacterial small subunit ribosomal RNA", at positions 524 to 776 of the family's 1533-position model. The record is from RNAcentral.
UACGGAGGGUGCAAGCGUUAUCCGGAUUUAUUGGGUUUAAAGGGUCCGUAGGCGGACUAAUAAGUCAGUGGUGAAAUCUCAUAGCUUAACUAUGAAACUGCCAUUGAUACUGUUAGUCUUGAGUGUAGUUGAGGUAGCUGGAAUAAGUAGUGUAGCGGUGAAAUGCAUAGAUAUUACUUAGAACACCAAUUGCGAAGGCAGGUUACCAAGUUACAACUGACGCUGAGGGACGAAAGCGUGGGGAGCGAACAGG